RNAcentral lists this ribosomal RNA (292 nucleotides) under uncultured bacterium. Its description in RNAcentral is "partial 16S ribosomal RNA". It matches the Rfam family "Bacterial small subunit ribosomal RNA", at positions 775 to 1067 of the family's 1533-position model. The record is from RNAcentral.
GGAUUAGAUACCCUGGUAGUCCACGCCCUAAACGAUGAGGACUGGCUGUUGGCGCUAUAGACGCGUCGGUAGCGAAGCUAACGCGUUAAGUUCUCCGCCUGGGGAGUACGGCCGCAAGGCUGAAACUCAAAGGAAUUGACGGGGGCCCGCACAAGCGGUGGAGCAUGUGGUUUAAUUCGAUGCAACGCGAAGAACCUUACCAUCCCUUGACAUCCUCAGAAUGAUCUGUAAUCGAUCAGUGCCUUCGGGAACUGAGUGACAGGUGCUGCACGGCUGUCGUCAGCUCGUGUCG